Molecule: ribosomal RNA, 301 nt
Filed under: uncultured bacterium
Lineage: Bacteria
Description: partial 16S ribosomal RNA
Rfam family: Bacterial small subunit ribosomal RNA
Source: RNAcentral
CAGUCGCCGCGGUAAUACGGAGGGUGCAAGCGUUAAUCGGAAUUACUGGGCGUAAAGCGUGCGCAGGCGGUUUUGUAAGACAGAGGUGAAAUCCCCGGGCUCAACCUGGGAACUGCCUUUGUGACUGCAAGGCUAGAGUACGGCAGAGGGGGAUGGAAUUCCGCGUGUAGCAGUGAAAUGCGUAGAUAUGCGGAGGAACACCGAUGGCGAAGGCAAUCCCCUGGGCCUGUACUGACGCUCAUGCACGAAAGCGUGGGGAGCAAACAGGAUUAGAUACCCCGGUAGUCCCUGUCUCUUAUAC